Molecule: long non-coding RNA, 304 nt
Organism: Toxotes jaculatrix (banded archerfish)
Lineage: Eukaryota; Metazoa; Chordata; Actinopteri; Toxotidae
Exons: 3
Source: RefSeq, a predicted model, not a curated record
GAGCAGGUAAAACUGAAAGUGUUCAACAGUUAGUUCAGACGCCAUUUGAAGUAAACAGAGCAGGAGCAGGAAAACUGAAAGCUGAGGCAGGACCUUCUGAAGUCCAGAAGAUGAGUGAUUGUGUGGAGGAAGAGGAGGACAGAGCAGAGUCUCCAGGAUCCAGCUGUCUGUCUAUGAAGAGUGACGGGUCCAAACCGUUUAAUCUUCCCAACUUCAGUAAUGAACCUGGACCCUCAGACACAAAAGGUCAGGACCACAGACUGAGAGCAGAGACUCCAGGACCCAGCUGUCUGUCUAUGAAGAG